This 462-nucleotide ribosomal RNA is filed under the name uncultured bacterium. Its description in RNAcentral is "partial 16S ribosomal RNA". It matches the Rfam family "Bacterial small subunit ribosomal RNA", at positions 28 to 507 of the family's 1533-position model. The record is from RNAcentral.
GACGAACGCUGGCGGCGUGCUUAACACAUGCCAGUCGAACGGUGAAGCCCUUCGUGGUGGCUCAGUUGCGAACGGGUGCGUAACACGUGAGCAACCUGCCCCUGGCUCUGGGACAACCACUGGAAACGGUGGCUAAUACCGGAUACGACCCGCCUCGGCAUCGAGUGUGGGUGGAAAGUUUUUCGGCUGGGGAUGGGCUCGCGGCCUAUCAGCUUGUUGGUGAGGUGAAGGCUCACCAAGGCGACGACGGGUAGCCGGCCUGAGAGGGCGACCGGCCACACUGGGACUGAGACACGGCCCAGACUCCUACGGGAGGCAGCAGUGGGGAAUAUUGCACAAUGGGCGGAAGCCUGAUGCAGCGACGCCGCGUGAGGGAUGACGGCCUUCGGGUUGUAAACCGCUUUCAGCUCCGAAGAAGCGAAAGUGACGGUAGGAGCAGAAGAAGCACCGGCUAACUACGUG